Molecule: ribosomal RNA, 463 nt
Filed under: uncultured bacterium
Lineage: Bacteria
Description: partial 16S ribosomal RNA
Rfam family: Bacterial small subunit ribosomal RNA
Source: RNAcentral
GAUGAACGCUGACAGAAUGCUUAACACAUGCAAGUCGAUGGGGAAGUGGUGCUUGCACCAUGGCAACCAUGGCGGACGGGUGAGUAACGCGUAAGGGACUUACCUGCAGGACUGGGAUAACAGGGGGAAACUCCUGACAAGACCGGAUAAUGUCAUGGAGCUGCAUGGCUUUAUGAUGAAAGGAGACGCCUGCGGAGAGCCUUGCGUCCUAUUAGCUAGUUGGUGAGGUAAUGGCUCACCAAGGCGAAGAUAGGUAGCCGGCCUGAGAUGGUGGACGGCCACAAGGGGACUGAGAUACGGCACUUACUCCUACGGGAGGCAGCAGUGGGGAAUAUUGGACAAUGGGGGCAACCCUGAUCCAGCAAUUCUGUGUGCACGAAGAAGGUUUUCGGAUUGUAAAGUGCUUUCAGCAGGGAAGAAGUAAGUGACGGUACCUGCAGAAGAAGCGACGGCUAAAUACGUG